UGAGCUUGAGAUUGAACCCUCAGACACUAUA
RNAcentral lists this non-coding RNA (31 nucleotides) under Mus musculus (house mouse). The record is from RNAcentral. Lineage: Eukaryota; Metazoa; Chordata; Mammalia; Rodentia; Muridae.